GUUGACUGGAUUAGGAGUUAAACCCCUAAACCUUAUAGUUUUAGGCACAAAAUGAGAACAUUAUUGAGGAAUUCACUUGCUUUAUGUUAUAAUAAUCACCCCUUGACCAAGAUUCUACCUAUUUUUUUCAUGUCAUAAGCGAUUAAAAUGCCUCAAACCCUCGCAAGUAAAAACGCAAUUCACAAGGUUGCCUUCAUUUUCUUGACAUGCUCUAAGCAAAACAUUGAGACCUA
RNAcentral lists this long non-coding RNA (233 nucleotides) under Carica papaya (papaya). Its description in RNAcentral is "long non-coding RNA (CPAP_LNC008883)". The record is from RNAcentral. Lineage: Eukaryota; Viridiplantae; Streptophyta; Magnoliopsida; Brassicales; Caricaceae.